CGAGUUGGUUGGAUGAUCGCUGCGGAGAUACUUUUUAAAGACCCUGCGCAGAGGAAAGUCCGGACUUCAAAGAGCAGGGCGCCAGGUAACACCUGGGAGGCGCGAGCUUACGGAUAGUGCAACAGAAAAUAUACCGCCAUUUUAUGGUAAGGGUGAAAAGGUAGGGUAAGAGCCUACCGCUUAAAUGGCAACAUUUAAGGCAUUGCAAACCCCAGCCUGAAGCAAAACCAAAUAGAAAUCCUAUAAAGU
Molecule: RNase P RNA, 249 nt
Filed under: Gammaproteobacteria bacterium
Lineage: Bacteria; Pseudomonadati; Pseudomonadota; Gammaproteobacteria
Description: partial RNase P RNA component class A
Rfam family: Bacterial RNase P class A
About the family: Ribonuclease P (RNase P) is a ubiquitous endoribonuclease, found in archaea, bacteria and eukarya as well as chloroplasts and mitochondria. Its best characterised activity is the generation of mature 5'-ends of tRNAs by cleaving the 5'-leader elements of precursor-tRNAs.
Source: RNAcentral